This is a non-coding RNA of Podarcis lilfordi (Lilford's wall lizard), 29219 nucleotides long. NCBI's taxonomy places the organism in Eukaryota, Metazoa, Chordata, Lepidosauria, Squamata, Lacertidae. The record is from the annotation of a GenBank genome assembly.
CUGGACCAGGCCCCUCCUGAGAGGUGAUGCUUCUCUGUCAAAACUUUGAGGCACCUUCUGUUCCGACUGCUGCUGGGCUGUAUCUUCUAUCCACAGAUUCACAUCGGAAUUUCACAUCCUUCUUUCUGCAACCCCAUUUCCAAAGGGAGACCAUCCCCACAUCCUUCAAGGCAGGCUAGGGGUCUCCAUAGCGCAGCAUUGGACCAUCUGCUUUGCAUGCAGGCCUUCUGUCCUGGGAAUGCCCCCCCCAUUCGAAACCCUGGAUAGCUGCUGCCAGUCAGCGCAGGCUAGUUGAAGAAGGAUAUUGAGCAGCUGGAAGGUGAGCAGAGGAGGGCGACCAGGAUGAUGAAGGGUCUGGAAACCAAGCCUGAUGAGGAACAGUUGAGGCAGCUGGGUAUGUUUAGCCUGGAGAAGAGGAGACAGAGAGGAGAGCCAUCUUCCAAUAUCUGAGGGCUGCAAGAGGGAGCAAGGUGAGAUGUGCUGCCGCUGCAGGUUUGAUGAGUUAAAAGGUACGUUUCCCUAGUUUGCCACAUCCUAGUAUAUUAUAGGUUGAUUCCAGACAGGUUUUAUUGUGGGAUUGGCACUGCUCUCGCAUACACCCCCAUGACAUCAGCAUCAAAAUGCUAGGCUGUGUUUCAUUCCUUUUAUAUUCAGUUUCGCAGUUUUCACAGAAAACCAGACAAGUAAAAAACAGAAACAAUAACCCUGCUGCCAACUUCCCAUUUGCAAUUUCUGAAUGGCCAGUUUACAAGAUUAAGUCCCCAGUUGGAAGCACCCACAGACAUUUCAGUUGCCGCACAACUGGGCUGGGGAUAGGGCAGGAUGCAAUCAUAUUGUGCAAUUCAAAUGUUUGUACAUAGCACUAGCAAAGGUGCAAGAUCCUGCUGGUGGGUAAAUACGUAUUGGAAGGUAUAUGCUUGAGGGUUUCCUAUAGACAUCUAGCUGGUCACUGUGAGAACAGGAUUCUGUUCCAGAUAGGAUUCAGCAGGGCUCUUCUCAGUGGCGUAGCUAGCCGCUCGGGUGCCGGGUGCAGUCCGUGCGUCCUGCAGCCGGGGGUGGGGCAAGCCACCCAUGGAGCCAGGGUGCGCUGUGUGGAGCCUCUCUGCUGCCUCCCCCUUGGCUGUAGGGCAGGUGAGGGAGAGACAGAGGGCAGACGCAAGUCCCACACUGCCGUUUCAGGCAGCGCAGAGCCUGCAGGCCCCCAAGCCACCAUGUCACUCCCAGGAGAGUUGCGUGGCUCGUGCACACUGCAGGCCCCAUGGUAAGUGCUGGCCUCUGUGGUGUGGCACCCAGUGCCAGCCACGUUUCGUUACAUUUGUUGACCGAACUAAAACGUUUUGUGAGCCCAUUUUUUUUUCAAAAAAAGAAAAGAAAACCUCAUUUUUUCCACCCUCCUCAGUGAUGACACCUGGGGCAACCCAUCCCCCCACCCCUCACCCCUUCCUCCGCCACUGACUGAGACAGUUUAUUAUUAUUUUUUUUAAAGUAAUUUUUAUUAAAGUUUUAUACAACAAAGAAGUAAAAGAAAAACAUACACAAUACAUAUAACAAAAACACAAAUAACAAAAAAAAAAGCAAAAUUCAACAAUAAAAAUACAAGAAACAUAACAAUUUAAAAACAAUAUCUCUGUUUCAUUUCCGUUUUUUAGUUGCUUAUUUUCUGGACUUCCUCAUACCUCCCUCUUUUGUAUUCCAAUCCAAAUUAUUUGUCCAGCAGUUUCUUUUCCACUUUUUAAUCCCAAUCUUUAAUUUGAUAAGAUAUUAAAAUAUAUAGCUUCAACUUCUUUAAACCUAAUCCUUGGUCUUAAUAUCAUAUACCAUUAAAAUCUUCCCUCUUAAUAUCAAAUUUCCAUUUCUUUAAACAUCUUUAAUCUUAAUCUUUAAUCUUAAUCUAUCAUUAGCUUUAACCUGUACAGCUGGAAACCUCUUGUUUUCAGUCCAACAUCACUCUAACAUUCCUUAAUUUUACAGUGUUUCUGAAGGUAGGGUUCUGAGACAGUUUAUUAUACCCAUACAAAGGUGACCAUAUACUUUCAUUUUUUUAUUUUUUUAAAAAUGAUAUUUAUUGAGAAUUUUAAGAUUACAAAAAAACAAAGAAAAAAAGAAGGAAAAAACAAGAAAAAAACAAAUAACAAUUAAACAAUACAGAUCAAUAAAAAGCAAAAGCAAAACACAUAAUACAUCAAAAUCAAAAAGAAAAAAUAAACAAAAAAAAUUUAAAAACAGAUCCAGUAUUCCCAAAUCCUUAACUGUCAUUACCUUAUUUCAUUGACCUCCUCACACCUCCCUUUUUUGUAUUCUAGUUGUUAAUUAUCUCAGCAAAUCCUUUCCAUCUUUCAUAAUAUUCUGUCGUUAAAUUACCUUAAUCUAUUUUAACCUUAUCUUACCAUAAAAAACACUAAAACUUAAAACUUAAAUCUUAUUUAUACCAAUUUCUCAUAACCAUAACAUAUUCUUACAUAAUUCUUUUUAACAUUUCUGCUAAAGCCAAAUAAUUUCGUUCCAACAUUUUUCUAAUACUCAUUAAUUUUACAAAACCUUCCUAAAUAAAUUUUUAAAACUUUCUUCCAAUCUUCAUCCAACGUCUCUUCCUCCUGGUCUCGGGUUUUGUCAGUCCUUUCUAUCCCAUCCAUCUAGUUCAUUAACCUGGUAGCCUUAUGUCCGAGGCCCUUAAAUCUCUUCCAUGUCCCUUCCGCAGGUCUUCUUCAUAUUUAUACCUGUACUUUACUUUGUCUUCUGCUCCUUUCACUCGUGGAGACUCCAGCUUGACGAUAUUUUUGUCCCUUCUCGACAGAUCAGCCCCUUUUCCAUAAUCAACACUGAACUCCAUGUGGUAUUUAAAAGCAUAUUUCAAGGUCCCUCCAAAGUUAAGGGCCCCCACGACUUCGAACUCCUCCCGGCCCAAAGUCAGACUUGAAAGGUCAAAACACCCCUGCAUAGGGGGGUCUAUCCAGCCCCCCAUCUCCAAGCCAAGCAAGACUCUCCAAAUCUGGCUUUUUCCAGGUUCAUUUGUCAGAUCCAACAACUCACGUUCCUGCUGGGCCACAGUUCCCUCCAUCUCUGCCUCCUGAGGUCCAGCAACAACCUCCUCCCUCAUCUGAUCUGUCAGAGCACACUCCUGGAUUAAUUCCUGAGUGGGUUCUAUAUAGAUACCCACUGCCUGUCCAAAAUUUUCAAUCGCAACUGUCAUCAAAUCCGUCUUCUCAUGUAGCUGUUCCAAUAAAGCACUUGUCUUGCAGAAAGCACACACCAAAGCCUCUGAGUACAUUCUUGUGCAAGGUCAGAGUCUGUUCCCAUGAUCUUAAUCUAUUGCAGCUACAAAGCUUCCCAGUUCAGAUUUAAUAACAGUUUCACAAGCUCCCUCUAGGGGAAAAAGCUUCUAUUUGUAUCCAUCUCUCUCUCUUUUUUUUUUUUAAAAAGCAGAUCUAACAACAAAGUUUCCUUUUUCAGAUAUUUUGUCAAUAUUUUGUUCCUUUUAAAUGAGAUGGGAACAAUGGAAUCAAUAUGUUUCUCUUCUUUUAACUAUCUGUCAAAAACGUUUGUCUAUAGUCAAUGAACUUCCUGAGGACGUCUGUCCUGACACCCCGCUCCCAGGUUCAAGACGGUGGAAAAUUACUUUUCUUUACACUCUCUUCUGCAGGUUUAAACAGUCCAGAAAAAGUUCCCCCCUCUUCUCCUGCUUCCAAGGGGGGUUCAGUAAUUUUAGAUGAUGAAAAUUGAUCCUUUACAGACGACUUUCUAAACUCUAGCUUGCCGUGUCUUUGCUUUAAUCUAUCUACAAAGCGGAAGGCAGACUUCCUGUUUAGACCUUCCCGCUUCAGUGCCAAAUUAAAAGAAAUUUCUUAGUCCAAUUUUCCGUUCUACUCACGAACAGUUAUUUAAGAUCCAAUUGUCCACAGGAAAAAGUCAGCGCUCUCCGGCAACAGCAAUGUGGCUUCACUCCCUGAAAGAAGCAGUCGAUUCGAAGCACCGCGCCACACCCCACAUCGCUCUGUAUCCCCGAAACCGGGGUUCCCCGCGAGUAGGGGGGGGCGCAAAGGUGCCAGCCGAAUCCCACGUCCACAGGCUUCUCCCACCUGUGGUUUUUGAUGGGUCUCCGCCUCGCCGUGGCGGUUCAGACCCUUUUUUCCACGGAGCGGAUUCCUCCCGAUCGGAGGAAAUCCGCCAUUGCCAGAGGCGCCAACCCGGAAGUCACCCAUACAAAGGUGACCAUAUACUUUCAGAAAUACUAACCAGUCCUUCUUUUGACUUUCAACUUUUGAGUCAGAAAUUGAACAUGACUAAUGCUUUGAUGUCCUUGGUUGAAGGUAACCCCUACAUGCUCAGAUGUGAUUUUCUCUUUCCUUACAUAGUCUCGUGUUCAAAGUCUUUGAAAAGCUGACGUUAAAUCUAAGUCCAAUCCACGUCCUCAUUUAGAAUGCCGAAUAAAACAAAGCCACUUCCUGCAAAGAUCGGAAGGGACAGCUCUGUGGGAAGACCUGCUGGGAUGAGCAGUUUAUGAUGUUGUGGAUCUCAGCGGGCUGAUUUCCAGCUCAGCUGGUGUUAAGCCCCCAUCCCCAGCUCAGCUGAAGAUAUGCCAGCAUAACUUGCUCAUCCCAGCUCAGCCAUAGCUCAGCUGGCUGAGUUGAAACUGAUGGAGCCAUUUAUGGUAUAAGCCAUGGGUAGGCAAACUAAGGCCCAGGGGCCAGAUGUCACCUUCUAAAUCUGGCCUGCAGACAGUCCAGGAAUCAGCGUGUUUUUACAUGAGUAGAAUGUGUCCUUUUAUUUAAAAUGCAUCUCUGGGUUAUUUGUGGGGCAUAGGAAUUUGUUCAUUUUCUUCUUCGAAAUAUAGCCUGGCCCCCACAAGGUCUGAGGGACAAUGGACUGGCCCCCUGCUGAAAAAGAUUGCUGACCCCUGGUGUAAGCAGUGGUGUAAUGGGGGGGGAGCCUCAGGAGAGGUUGCACCGGGCCCAAAAUUGCUAGGGGGCACAAAAUUUCAACACCUGGCGCUGCCUGAAUUCAGCCGCAUGCUUCUGUUGUUGGGCUCUGUUGAAAGGGCUCUGUUGAAAAUGGCUUCUCCAUGCGAACCAGGAAGUGACCUCUCCAGACAAUGGGACAACUCUUCUUUUCUUAUCUCGGUGGCUGUAAGCUCCUGGGUGAUGCGGACGCUGUUAGACACUUAAAUGCGCAUGCAUACUCUGUCGGUUUCCCACCCUCCCACUCACCCCUCCAUGCAGUCCCGGGCUCUGACAACCCACGCUACGCCACUGGGUAUAAGUGCACCCAAAAGGGACAUUCAGAAGGGAAAGGAGAUUUAGGCUGGAUCCCAAGCCCGUUCUGCUCAGUCAUGUGAUCUGGCAACCCAACAUAAAACACUAUUUUAAAGGUUUCUUUCCCCUUUGCCAUGCUUAGGCAGAGCAACAGCAGAAGCCCUGCUGCUGAAUGUGUUCCAAUGUGGUGUAACUUUACACCAGCUUGCUUUGUGCCACCCUUUUGCACAUGGGAUUGAAAUCCCCAGCAUCCCCCAUGCCUGUCAAGGGAGCUGACACGUAGCACACUUUGCAGAGCAGAGAGAGAAGGCAACCCCUGCUAACUUGCAGUUAGUCCUUUUAAGGGACGCAGGUGGCGCUGUAGUCUAAACCAUUGAGCCUCUUGGGCUUGCCGAUCAGAAGGUUGGCGGUUCGAAUCCCCACAAUGGAGUGAGCUCCCGUUGCUCUAUCCCAGCACCUGCCAACCUAGCAGAUCAAAAGCACGCCAGUGCAAGUAGAUGAAUAGGUGCCACUGUGGUGGGAAGGUAAAUGGCGUUUCCAUGCACUAUGGUUUCCAUCAUGAUGUUCUGUUGCUCCAGAAGCAAUUUAGUCAUGCUGGCCACAUGCCCCGAAAGCUGUCUGUGGACAAACACCGGCUCCCUCGGCCUGAAAGCGAGAUGAGCGCCGUAACCCCAUAGUUGCCUUUGACUGGACUUAACCACCCAAGGGUCCUUUACCUUACCUUUACAUUUACCUAGUCCCUUUAUUAAUGAAUCAGAACAGAAAACACAUGGAGACUCGAGCGACAUACUCCACCAUAGCGAACAGCUUCUCAGACUGUCUUGCACCUCUGACUUCACUCCAUUCCCUCUGCGUCAGGCCCUUCCCUCUGUCUAUGGCGAGCUCUAAGGGACCCUCUCUGUCUCUGCUUGGCUCUCUGUUCUGUUAUAUGUCGCAAAUGGGAGGAGCUGCCAGGCUGCCAGCAGAAACACUGUUCCGGGGGGGUCUGUAAAGCUGCUAAGUCUGACUCCUCUCCUUGCUCUGUGCUGGGGCACCUGCCUGUUUUCCCCUUUUCCUCAUCCUCCAAGCUCCCAGUCUCUAGUACAUCCCAGCUCUUCCCCUCCUCUGGGGUGCAUCCGGUUGCCCAGGAUCCCGGGUCCAAAUUCUCUUUCUUUGCACUUUCCCUGAGAGGGCUCUCGGUCAGGCGGUUUCUACCACUCCACCUCACCUAGUCAGUCCCUGACAAUGCCCUUAGCAAUCCUCAAUGUAUGGGUCAGCCCUCAAUGCAUAAGGAUUUAUUGUGGCAGUUUGCUUGGUCCUGAUGAAGGUACUCUACUUUUGCUUGGAAAUAAUUCUUCUGCUGAACCAUCUGGAAUUUUGAGUGUGUGUGUGGUUUAUUACAAAACUCCAUUUAAGCAUUAUGAAGUAUUUGAAUGCUGACAUAUUUAAUAGCACCGGAGAUGUUCUCCAUGUGUUCAUGAUCUGCCUGUUGCCCUCAGACAUCAGACCUUGAGGGAAGUACACUCUGGCCUCUGCCAUUGGCCAGGGACCCAAGGGACCGAGGGAGGCCACAGCCCCUGCCUCCCAGGAAGAACAUUAUGGCCAGAGGAAGACAAGUCUGUCCCCAUCCAUCAGGAAGCAAUGAGUUUGUUUCCUCCUUGCCUGCCAGAAAGAACACUUGGCUCCAAUUGCAGAGCAGAAGGGAAGUACACUAUGGCCCCAUCCAUCAGCCAGGGGACGAAAGACUGCUGGGUCAUUUUCAGACCCUCCAUCCAAGCAAGACCACCAGGGCUGGAAGAUCAGCCUGGUCCCAAACUGUAUAUAAAUCCCUGUUUUUAGUUCACCACUUUGUUUCUGGCACUGUCAAACUGUUCUCCCUUUCCCCCUUCCAUUCCCCUCCCCUUCUACGUUUUCUCUUUUUAGAUUUGUCAGCCUGCCUCUCCUUCUCCAAGCUUGGUUCUUAUUUGGAUGGGGUCACUGGAGGCAGGUAACAGGUUUAUCCCACUCCUCAGCUGAGUACUCUUUUGCUUUCUCACAUGUAAGCAAAGAAGUGAGAACUACAAAGCGUGUUCUCCUUCAUGGAGAGCACGUGUUGUGGUGGGGUCUAACAAGACAUCCCACUGUUGCUGGGCGGGAAAGAUAAGUUGGCCACCGUUGCGACUGGGCUCUUCUUGUCGUUGGGGAGAAUUCGAUGUUGCCAUUUUGUGAUUGACAGCCAUAAGCUUUAUAUUCCCUGCGCGCAGCAUUGAGCUUCCUCUUUUCGCUGCGUGCAUCGGAUCACCCUCCCACCCUCCCUAUAUUUAGGGUUUUUCGCUUGACCUUGCUAUGCCUGUCAUGGGGUCGUCUGCUUUUGGGGCAGGGGCCUGGUAGGAAUUUUGUUCAUUUGGCUGAUCGGCUGGUGCCAUUUGGUUUUUGCCUACUGCGCAGCAAAUCGUCACAACUUGUAAGGUUGCGGUUAGGCAUUGGUUUUAUGAAUUGGUUGGUGGAGGGGCAUGGAUUGGCUGUGCCUGCCCCUCCAAUACUGCUGCUGCAAGAGUAUUCCGUUAAAGGAAUCCAGGGGCUUGCCAUGCUUUUGUCUGAAUCCUGUCAAGGGGCUAGGGCCACGCAAGAGCCCCUGGGAGCAUUUGGGGAGAGGUGAGGGCAUGGUACCCAGCUCCAUCUUUCUCCCCAUUCGCGGGCAUGCAAAUGUCAGUCUGUCCCCCAUGGUGGGGUCAGAUAGUCGCAACCAAUGCCUCAGCAACCACUCACAUUUUUUGUAUUUUAAUAAAGUUGUGGCCAAAAUUAUGCCAAAAACCUUAAACAAAAAUUAUGUGUGAAUUGUGUUUUAUUUGGGGUGGCCUGGGGACCUCAACACGCAACACAAUGUGUGGAUGGCUGUUCAGAGUGCCAGUCAGCCAGCCAUUCCAUUCCAGGAUACUCCAUUCUAUUCCCUCUUUUCUAGAUUUCGUUUCUAUAAACAGUCAGUAUUCGGUCACCACUGAGUAUACCCAGCCCUCAUUGGAAUGAUUUCGGUUCUUUCCCUUGCCCUUUAGCUUUGGAUGUGCAGCAUUCCUGCGCUCAUAGCAUUGCAAUGAUUACAAGUCAGUUCCCAUGGGGAAAACGGUGAGGCUAUAUUCCUGAUCAGGUUUGAAAAUAUUUAUGCAAAUCUGUUUUCCCAGAGCUGUACACGAGCUGCUCAACCUUGCAAGAUUUGCUGGAGCUACCCAGAAAGAAUAAGGUCAGAGCAAAAAAAUAAAAAAAUAAAAAUGUAUUGAACAUUUCAGGUCCCCUUCUAGAAUGAACACAUACAACAGAAACACUCGUGUUUUCUUUUGAGAGACAGAGAGAAGUUUGUUCAUUCUUGCUGGUGACUGAGCUCACUGCAGGAAGCCAGAAGCAGAUCUUGCUUGCCAUAAACCCAAUGGUGUUUUUCCCAUAUAAAUAAAUGGUUCCCAUUCUUUCAUAUCUGAAAUAGGUAAAGUGAUGUCCUUGGGGAUACUGUCCUGUUGAGGGCAUGGUGUGUGUGUGUGUGUAAAUUUGUCUCUGCGCAGAAUGCACUGCACCCUCAGGGCUCUUUAUGAAUUGAAGGCUUUUCUCAAAACACACGUACCGACAAUGACAUCUUGCUAGUUAAAAAGAAAAAGCAUAGCCAUGACACUGAACUCCAGUGCUAAUGCUGCAGCUCAGGGAAAGCUCUUUAGAAGAGAGAGAAAAAAAUGCCUAUGAAUGGAUCUUACCUGAGCUUGCUUAUUGCUGCUUGCUCAGGACCUUAGGCAAAUAUUUGUUUUCUACUGUGGUACAUAUUUGGCAUUGUUUGAGCUAACCCUUCUUUCAGAGUACAUAUAGUUUUGUAAAAAUGCCAAUACCUCGCUUUUGAAACACAGUUUAUGCAAUCUCGGAAUGUCAUUGCAUGCUUGUUUUCCAGCAGGGAUAUUCAUACUUUCAUCACCUUAUCAGUAGAUCGUUAAGGAGAAAUUUCUCCUGCGAUUCUUUAUGCCCCACAAGGUAGGCAGCGUGUCAUAAUCUUAAGUUGCUCAGAUCACUAAGGCUGUGAUCCUAAGCUUAUGCACUACGAAGAAAAGGCAUUCUACUUUGCUCAGGGCUGUUUCACAAAUUACAUGGUAGACAUUUCAAGUUGCCACACUGAGUUUAUUCCCAUCAGGGAACAGUAACUCAACAGACACCUGGGUGAGUGUACUUGUCUGUUACACAUGUUUUCACAAAUGCGAUUGUCAUAUUCAUGGUUGCCAUUUGCAAGGGAACAAAAGUACAAAAUUGGGCCUGAGUGUCUAAACCUGCAAAUUACUUUCCCAAUGUAUAAAAAGCAAAGAAGUUUAAAUCCACAUUUAACACGUGCACACACAAAUUUAGAAGAUAUAUAUCAAAUACAAUCUAAAAUCUCAUUGUUAUAAUCAUGGCAAUAUAAAAUUACAUCAGAACAUCAUCUUAUAUGGCCAGCAAAAUGUGACCAACGAUAUUGCUAUAGGCCAAAGAUGUUUCAACCCUAGAAGGGUCUUCUCAAAUGGUCAAUAUGCUUAAAUAUCAGUGUUGUCACCAAAUAUGACUCUUAGCUAGUCUGUAUAGACUUCAUGGACUGAGCUAUCUUAUCCAUAGAAAAUGUCAUGCCCUUUAAUAGAGCUGAAUGUAUGUAUGUUGUUAUGUAGCUUGCCCGAUCAUUUGUGAUUCAGGGGUUUACUCCAAGACGUUAGCUUUCAAAGGUCAGCCAGCAAACAUGCAUUUUUAAAUGUGCAUGCCAUAUCAAGAACACUGUACUCCAGAAACAGUGAUGGUUCCCCACCCCCACCCCCACCCCCAAAUAAUGUGCAAAACAGAAGCAAAUCCCUUUCUAGUGCAUGAUAAAGUACAUAAACUCUGUCAUUUGGCCUGUUCUGCUGAGGCAAGGGAUCCCUGCAGAAUUGACUCUAUGGCCACAGGAUUUCCUGCUGCUGCCCAGAUGUGCCACAAAUUCCCUGUUGGGUUUGGGAUGUUUUUUUUACAUUAAUUAAGGACAUACGAAGUAGCAUCUGCUCAGUAUAGCCUAUGUACGCUAGCCUUUCCCAAACCUUGUGCUGUCAGAUGCUUUUAGAAUACAGUUCCUAUCAUCCUUGACCAUUAACCAUGCAUUCCCUCCCUCCCACCCCUCUGUGCAGCCCUGGACACUGGUAACCCACGCUAUGCCACUGGGCAAAAGGUUGGGGAAGGCUGGUAAAUGCUAAUUGCCUAGUGCUGAUUCCCUGAGUGUGGAUCAGUGCCACCAUCCGCAUCUGUAGGGCUGAGUGAACCCAAAGGUUAUUUACCAAAAAAAAGACAAAGAAAACCCUUAGCAGGGGGAGGGGGACACCCAAACAGCCCAAUAAGGACUGAACAUUCUGAGUUGUUCUACAAGAUGCUGGCUGAAAAGUGGACUGGACUGGUAAAGGGACCCCUGACCAUUAGGUCCAGUCGUGGCCGACUCUGGGGUUGCAGCGCUCAUCUCGCUUUGUUGGCUGAGGGAGCCGGCGUACAGCUUCCGGGUCAUGUGGCCAGCAUGACUAAGCCGCUUCUGGCGUACCAUAGCACUGCAUGGAAACACCAUUUACCUUUCCACUGGAGCAAUACCUAUUUAUCUACUUGCACUUUGACAUGCUUUUGAACUGCUAGGUUGGCAGGAGCAGGGACUGAGCAACGGGAGCUCACCCCGUCACGGGGAUUCGAACCGCCGACCUUCUGAUCGGCAAGUCCUAGGCUCUGUGGUUUAACCCACAGCACAACCCGCGUCUCUUAGAGUGGGGUGGGGUGGGGAGAUGGAAAAUCAGGGCAGAGAGAGGUUUUAAUAUAGAGUGUCCUGGUUGGUUAUAUUUUGCUCCAGAUCUUACGGAAGGGUGACAUGGAUAUUUUUAAAAUAAAUAAAUAGUAAAUCCUCAGGGCAUUGCAUAACAAUCCCUGCUUAAGCCUCAAAGUGUUUUGUUUGAUCACUGGAUGUGCUCGAGUCAAAUAAAAGUUACAAUAUGGCAAUGUGGUCAGUAAAUGCUGAAUCAGGGAUUCCAGCCCCAUCUUCCUCUCUUUUUCCCCAAGGGCAAAAUCUGAAUAUAUUUCAUGUAAAGGAGUUGAGCUUUGGGGAUUAUUUAUAGGGAAUCUACUGAAAUAUGUAUAAGAUCCUAAUAUAGCAAUUAUAUUUUGUCUGCUAGGAUGUGGUCAACCACAACUUCUGCCUUGAACUCCAAGCCAACCCUCAUGCUAAAGCCAUCAGAGAACUUCUAUAGCUGGAUGAAUUUGUGGUAAAUAUGUGAAGAAAAGGUAGGUCACCUCCAAAGCAGUUCAACACCGUGCUGCCAUUCAUCUGGUAAAGUGGUUGGCUGCGUCUAUCCAAAGGGCAUAUGUCAAAGUCAAAAUUCACAAACACUUUGAAAUUGCAUAGCUCUGAAUAUGCUGCUUCCGUCCUUAAAUGCAAGUGUGGAAAACUAGUCUGCUUAUUAUAUAUUUGGAUAAUGAGACACUUGGGCUUCCAGUGAAAGAGAUGUAACCCCAAACUUGCUCUUUUAGAGGGAAUUCAACCUCACCCAGAACAGGUAACUUGCCAGGUAUUAGAAGAGGCCUCACAUUAAUUUGAGACAAAAUAAACAUGGAAAGCACACUUCCAUUGGUAAUCAUAAUUAUGCCCAAGAAAAAAUUACAUAUCCUCCAAGUGUCCCUAUUUUCCAGGAAUGUCCUUGAUUUAGAGAAGCCAUCCCAGUUUCAGAUUUGAUCCCAGAAUGUCCCACUUUUCCUUAGGAUGUGGCUAAUUUCAUUGGAGAACUGUUGGAGGGUAUGGAGUUAUCCGACUCCCGAGCCAUCUGAAAGCAAUCCUGUAUAGGGAAGGUUUCUUUUUAAUGCUUUCUUAUGUCUUUAUAUAUGUUGGAAGCCGCCCAGAGUGUCUGAGACAACCUAGUAAGGUGUGUGGGGUAUAAAAAGUAAAUUAUCAUUAUGGAAUGGGACGUCCCUAUUUUCAGUGGAGAAAUGUUGGAGGGUAUGAAAUUAAAGUUUUAUUUACUUGUAAAACUCCGUUAAUAGAAAUCUACUAAUUCGCCUCAGUAGAGGAAUUUUAGAAUCAGUUUAGACUGAGUUUACACAACUUGGAACCCAAUGGCUAUCAAUUGAGUCCUGCCUCCAUGUUUCCAGUUGGAAGAAAAUACGAAUAAAUAAGAGAUUGCCUAUGUGACAGGCUCAGCUUUAUGGCCAGUUUACAAGGUAUGCAAAUUUGGCUUCAACUGUUGUGUGCAAUUUCUGCACAGUGCACCAACAAUACCUUCUAUUGUUUUGCUGAGGGCUCUGCAUUUCAUCUUUGACCAGGUGCUUGACUAUAUUAACAGUUGUGUUUCUAUAGUGAAGUAAACAUCAGUGCCUGAGGGAAUAUAUAUAUAUAUAUCAGUGUCACUUGCAAACACAUGGAAAGAAAGAUGAAGAACUGCAUAGUCCUUCAACUUUCUCCCAAUGGAUUAAUGGAUUUACUCCAGGUAGUUUUCAAUACAAUCAAAUAUUUGUGCAAAACAGUGAGUAAUCUGAGCACAGUUCUACCCAUAGACAGAUCUGAUGCUAUCAUGUUGUCCAUCAAUAAAUUAUGUCAUAUUUGUUCAUCAGAGACUAGCCUGCCAAGCCCAGAGACGGAUGCUUUGGAGUCCUGACUUCAACUGAAAUGCAUGUCUCUGUCAAUUAUGAAUCUAUCUUGCAAGCAGGGAUGAAAUAAAUCAGGACGGGUGUCAAGAAAACCGUCUCAGGUCACAUUCACAUUUGUGGUGCCAAAGAAACACCCUCUGUUCCCAUCUUUAAACAUAAGGCAACACCCCAAAACCACCGGGAUGCAAAUGCAGGAAUUGGCGCACGUAUUCCUAGCUGGAAUAACACACAUGUCCACACAUGUUUCUCCUUUGCAAUACAACAAUCAACAUACUUGAAAUUCCACAGGUCAGCUGGUUAUGGGAGAGUGUGGGAACUGGAGUCAGCAUCGCCUACAUCUUCUAUUCCAUCCAACGUGCAAAUCAGUGGGGUUUCAGCUGUUUAAAAACAAGGCUGUAUAGGCCUGCAGAGAUCACUGUAACUGUUGGACUAGCAACAGCCAACAAUGAAGAUGGGACAGCCUAGCAUCACCUUCCAUUCCCUGUUAAUGUAUUAAUACUGGCUUAACUUGCGGUUUGGAGUUGGGUGACACUGAUAUGCAGAGAACACCCAGCUCUCUCUCUCUCUCUUUUUCAUCUGAACCAUGAGUAGUGGUGGAGCCCAAAAUGGGUGCCUGGAGUCGGCUAACUUGGGUGGGAUUGAGGCUAACAAAAUAAUCGAGAUCAAGACAGGUACUGUUGGUGAAUUUCUUGGAAGUGGGAUUUGACCUGUUCUGGACAAGGUUACACUGCUGCUUGAGGAUUAGGUCAGAAGUAGCUUGCCAGAUUGCCCUUACCACUAUGUUAGCUUCCAGGCAGGUGGGUAGCUGUUGUUCACUGGGAGACAGGGGUGAGAUGGUGGGAAGGUCAAUAUAGUUCAGUUGCACCAACAAGAUUGACUCUGCCAGGGCGUUUCAUUAUGCCAGCCUCCCUGCACGACGCCCCUCCCAGCAAUUCACCUUCUUCUCACAUGUCCUCCUCAGGGUAAUCCUACAUUUGGGUGGUGUGUUUGUGCAGAGGCAAAUUGUGCAGAGUGGGACUGGUUCAGUUGCACUGGGUGUGGAGUCUCUGGGGUGCUACCGGGAAGGCCACAACUAUGAUUUAGAAUGGAGUAGCAAAGGGGUGCCAAAUUUUGGUGUUGCAGACGCGGGUGGCGCUGUGGGUUAAACCACAGAGCCUAGGCCUUGCCGAUCAGAAGGUUGGCGGUUCGAAUCCCCGCGACAGGGUGAACUCCCGUUGCUCGGUCCCUGAUCCUGCCAACCUAGCAGUUCGAAAGCAUGUCAAAGUGCAAGUAGAUAAACAGGUACCGCUCCGGCAGGAAGGUAAACAGCGUUUCUGUGCGCUGCUCUGGUUCGCCAGAAGCAGCUUAGUCAUGCUGGCCACAUGACCCGGAAGCUGUACGCCGGCUCCCUCGGCCUAUAAAGCAAGUUGAGCGCCGCAACCCCAGAGUCGGCCAUGGCUGGACCUAAUGGUCAGGGGUCCCUUUACCUUUACCUUAGGGUCAACAUACGUCCAGGAAAACUCAGACAUGCCCUCUUUUGGGGGACCAACAUGCCCAUCUGAGUGGAUUUUUACAUUUUAAAGGAAAUGUUUGGGGUUUGGGGCGUGUGGCUUGGGUGGCUGUCAGGGACUGGAUUGAGGGGGACGAGCCUGAGGAGGAAUGGUGGAGAUCGUCCCCCUCGACUUCCUCAACCUUGGCCCUCCAGAUGUUUUGAGACUACAAUUCCCAUCAUCCCUGACCACUGGUCCUGCUAGCUAGGGAUCAUGGGAGUUGUAGACCAAAAACAUCUGGAGGGCCGAGGUUGAAGAAGCCUGAAUUACAGCAUGGUUUGAGGGAGGUCACAGCUCAGAGACUGCUGAACAGAAGAGUUGGGAGGUGUUGGGAGAAGAGAAGGGGGAGACAGAGGCAGACCAGCCAGGUGACACGUUAUCACUGGAGAGUAUUUCUGACCCCCCUUCUCCCAGAACCUGGCGUUCAUUGAGAGUGCAAGAGCAAAGGACUCAGAGACAAUUAGCCUCUGGUGGCCACCAUAAGGGGAACUGCUGUAGCUAGGAAGAGAGGCAGGAGGAGCUCAGUUGAAGCAACGCCAUUAACGGCAGAUAAACUCCAUUCCUUUGUCUCUCAUGGUGAUGAUUGAAUCAACUUAUUAGUAAGAACUCUUCUUUUUCUCUGCUUCUUGCUGCUACCGGGGGAGGGAUAGAAUUUCUCCGAAGCAUGACAGUGGCUUGGGCUUGGGCUUGGGCUCAGACACAGGCAGCUCGGGUGUGGGCACGGGCUGCUGUUCAUGCCAUGGCCUCUGCCAGCCCAAGCCGGGGAAAGAGGCACAUGGGCACGACAGCAGUGGCCCUGCAUGCCUUUACCCACACACCUCAUUCCCCAGCUCGGGCUGGCAGCGGCUCAGGCUGUCCUCUUUUUUGCUCUUCGAGGUAUGGCAACCUCAGGUUGUGCAGGGAGCUGGUUAAAUGUGAGACCCCAAAAUCUGUCAUUGGGGUGUGUGUGUGUGUGUGUGUGUGUGUGUGUAUGUGUGUGUGUGUAAAACAAGUCAGCAGCCACCAAAGAGAGAUGAUCCAUUCAGGAAUAGGAUGGAGUGAAGGGCUCAGUCCCAACUCCCCUAUAUGCAUGAUAGGCCACCAGACUGAGCAUGUGUUAUACAGACCAAUCCCUCCAUGGGGAUUUCCUCUUUUGGGCCUUGCCAAAUGCACACAUGGUAUCCAUUUGAGUCUGUAGUUCCUGGUGCAGCUAAGGAUCUGAGCACAUAUGGACAUAACUGGAUCAGGGAAAUGGGAGGGAUUUGACACGUGUACUACGCUUAUGCCAGGAUGCAAAGAGUGUGCAGUCAAAAACCCUGGAAAAUAGGCUUUUUAAAGGAUUUUCAGUUCAACGGAAAUGCUGUCAAUGCUUGUAAACAUUGAAAACUAAGCUAAAACUCAAACCGCUCUGCUUCGUACUGGAGGGGCACUUAUCAAUUACAUAUGCAAACAGAAAAUGUUUUCCACUGAAACAGGCUUCUAAAUGAGCUUCUGUGUCUAGCUGAAAAUGAAAUCUUUGUAGGUUUUCAGAUCUACUGGAGUGAACUGAAAUUUUCUGUUCUAAUUCAUGAAGUCUUUAAAAACCUUGCUCUUAACUUAUCAAAAUACUUUUAAAUAUCUGGGGGUCAGUUCCACUAACAUGCGAACAUAGGCUUCCAUUUCCUUACCUCCCUCAUUGUGUUUACAGAGAAUGCAGUGUAAACUGUGUGUGCGUGUAGUUUGUGUAUAUGGAGAGAGGAAGAGGCCAUCUACAAGUUUGCAAUUUACCAGAGUUUAGUCUAUGAAGAAUGAGCUAUAAACAAAGACGGCCAAAGGCCACUUGCUUUGGCCAAGAAUGCUUGGGUUUCUGGCUAUAUUGUUUUCUUGGCCUUCAAGCUUUGUUCUUGCAACAUUCCGCCCCCCCCCCCAUAGAUGCUCAAACCAAAAAAUUCUGCACUAGUGCCUCUUUAUUAGCUAUAGCCCCAUGUAACAUGAUCUCUCAAUUUAUACUCAGAAUGAGCAUGUUUGUCCAACUCAUUUUCUGAUGCAUGUAUUGCCCAGGGAGGCACAUUAUGUGACCCAUGAGAACAGCAAAAGAACCAGACUGUACAACGCCGAUGGGAUAAAAUCCAGGCCAAAUCUUUAUUGACAGCAGCAGGCAGGGCAAGGGUUGGCAUGGCAUGGGGUCCCAGGAUCAGUUCAUCAUUCCACAAGCCCCACGUUGAUGGAAUGGAUCUGCCCCAAACCUGUUCCAUGGGAGUCGGCCAGUGUUGAACCUUGCUGUGGGGCAAACUGAGCAAGCAAAGUCUCACUGCAUGACCAGGGUGCAGAUUCCUACCAGGCAGAUACCCCAGCAUUGAGCUUCAGUCAAUCCUCCCUUUAGGCACCUUAUGGGGGCUCCUCUAUACCAGGGACAUUCAAUCCCCAAGAGACUGUGAUCUACUCCCGGGGAAAAAACCCUAAAAAACUAGCAGUGAUAUACCUAGGAGGGGGCAAAGCCAAACUUCUUGAGCUUUUUUUAGGGGAGCAAGCCAAACUUCUUGAACUUUUUUGGGGGGGGACACAUACUUCUGAUCCUUUGGGGGGGGGACAUGUCAUAAAUUGCUUGCCAGGUAGUAAACCCAGCAGUGAUAACUCCGUCGUCCGUAUUGGCAAUUGUGCGUGAGUGAUGGACAGAGCGAGGGGGCAGGGCCGGAUGCUCUUUUCCCCCUGCGGAGGAAAGUCAGCACGUAAUCAACCAUGAUCAAUCGCUAUCACCAGGGGAUUGACCUGUCAAUUGCAGUCGACUGGUUGGACACCCCUGCCCUAUACUAUGUUGAUCUAUGUUGAGAGCCAGUGUGGUGUAGUGGUUAAGAGCGGUAGACUCAUAAUCUGGUGAAUCGGGUUCGCGUCUCUGCUCCUCCAUAUGCGGCUGCUGGGUGACCUUCGGCUAGUCACACUUCUCUGAAGUCUCUCAGCCCCACUCACCUCAGAGAGUGUUUGUUGUGGGGGAGGAAGGGAAAGGAGAAUGUUAGCCGCUUUGAGACUCCUUAAAGGGAGUGAAAGGCGGGAUAUCAACUCCAAACUCUUCUUCUUCUUCUUCUUCUUCUUCUUCUUCUUCUUCUUCUUCUUCUUCUUCAUCUGCUCGAUGCCAUUUUUGCCCUCGUACAAACAACAUUCUUCUGCCUAACAAAGUAAGGCCAUAAUGUCACUGAAGGAAAGGUGGAAAAAGAGCCUCAACCAAGUGCCAAUCAGGUUGAGAGAGGAAAAAAUUAUUUCUGGCCCUAUCGACCAGCGCCCCAUAAUUUCUCAGUAACGGCUCUCACCCGAGAGCGGGUGGGCAGGAAUCUCUCAAGGCAAAAUGGCCUUGACCUCAAGGGGAAUCGGCCUUACGUAGGCUUUCCCCUCCCCUUUGCAAGGGCUCAUGGGAAUGCUUUUUUGCCUCAGUCCAGCCCAGUGGAUUCCAUUCCACCAGCAUCAGGUGAAUGGAAUGAUGUACUGAUCCUGGAGCCCUCCUGCCAUGCCAACUCCUACCCUACCUGCUGUGGUCAAUUAAGAUUUCAUUCCAACACCUGGUGUUCUGCCAGUUCAUUUGCUAUUCUUCUGGGUCACAUAUUACUCCUGUCAGGGCAAACACUUUCCCUUCUUGAAGACUGUCCUGUAUUUAAUAAAAUGUGAGAGAGUGGGACUAAAGAGUAAAUCUGCCAUUUGGUUACUCACUGUUUCUUAAGGUUCAAGAAAGAGAGACUGGUGUAUGCUAGCCAAAUUGGUCCACUUUAAAUUUCUGUAGGAUUCCCUUGUAUAUAUUCUCUUUCUCUCAGAGAUUCAGCCAAAGUAGAACCCUGUUAACUUCCAUUCACUUCCAUGGUAGACUAAAGCACAUGCUUCAUUCCAUGCUACUGAAAUCUGUGGGACUCAAACAUGCUUUAUUUUGACUAACUCGUACCCUAUACGCUUUAAGCCAGUCCUUUAUUCUGUGGCAGUUUGCCAUUUGGAAAAUACUUCCUCAAAUAUCGUAAAUAAUAUAUCAAAACAGGAAAGCCUGUUCCUUAUUUGGUGCCAUUUCCCUUUCUUCAAAAGCGUUUACCUUACGGCUACAUAUGUAGACUCUGCAUUCGAUGGCUUCCAAGAUAUUUUGGGGGGAGAAAUCUCAAAAUAACAUAAUAUGCAUUUUUAAAACAUCUGCUGCAGCUGAUGUCUUGUGGGGGAACCAAUAUGUUAACUUGCCCUCUGGUCAAUGAGUUCUUAGUGUGCUAAAGAAUAACACAGCAGCAGAUGUACAAUAAGAGCCGGGAGGCUGGAACAUUUGGACUUUCGCCUUGUUCGUGGUAAAAGGAAACUAACAGAGGCUGUGUAAAUACAACUCACCCUGCGUGGCUCCAAUAGAAAGAAUAUUGAUUUGCCUUUCAAAUCAUCAACGUAGUCUCUCUCUCUCUCUCUCUCUCUCUCUCUCUCUCUCUCACACACACACACACACACACACACACAAAAACACUGUAUGUUGGCACCAUCUCCAUUGAAAAAGUAGACCUCUUCUUCUACCAAACUGGCAUCCAGUCAGAAGAUUGACACUAACGCUAAGAUUGAUAUGGGAGCAGGUAUUUGAGGUCCCUUCUUGCUGCAUCACUGUGUUUGCUCACCAUCUUAACAUAAUAGCUAGUGCUUGAUUAACUUGAAACACCUCUUCCCAUAUGAACCUACCCAGACCCUGAGAUCAUCUUCUGAGGCCCUCCUUUGUGUGCCUCCUCCUCGAGAGGUCCAGAGGGUGGCAACUCAAGAACAGGUCUUUUAUGCAGCAGUGCUCUGUUUGUGGAAUGCUCUCCCCAGGAAGGUUCACAUGGAGCCUUCAUUGUACACCUUUAGGUAGAAAUGGAUAAAAGCCUCCCAUCCAAACGAUGACUAUCACCAGUGCAGGGAAGAAAAAAAUUAAAUUUUCAUUUUUAUCAUCUACAAUACUGUCUUAUUUAUUUUAUAGUACAGUACAUUGCUUAUUGCUUUCAUUUUAUGGAUCAAUGGCCUCACUAGAGAGUAAAAUUCAUGUUAAAUUGCUGUUUUAGGGGUUGUUUUUAAAAGUCUGGAAUGGAUUGAUUCAUUUUGCAUUACUUUCUAUGGGAAAGCACGCCUUGGUUUUGGAACGCUUUGGUUUUGGAACGGCCUUCCAGAAUGGAUUAAUUUUGAGAACCAAGGUACCACUGUAGUUUUAGGCAAUAGAAAUUGUUGUCUUAAUAUCAUGGGUCCAAUAAGGUCCUUACAAUAUUCUCAUCCUGUAUUAUGAUACAGUGGUACCUCGGGUUAAGUACUUAAUUCGUUUCGGAGGUCCGUUCUUAAGCUGAAACUGUUCUUAACCUGAAGCACCACCUUAGCUAAUGGGGCCUCCCACUGCUGCCGUGCCGCCGCUGCACAAUUUCUGUUCUCAUCCUGAAGCAAAGUUCUUAACCCGAGGUACUAUUUCUGGGUUAGAGGAGUCUGUAACCUGAAGCAUAUGUAACCUGAAGUGUAUGUAACCCGAGGUACCACUGUAAUGAGUUGAAUAUAUUGAUCCAGACAAGUGGGUGGCCGAAUGUAUGGAUGAAAGAAAAGAUCCAUCCAUCGAUUUUCUGUUGAAUUUCUAUUCUGAGACAUAAGAUUCCAAGCCAAAAGUUAAUAAAUGAGAAAGGCUUACUAUGUUUGUGGAGGGUAUCAUUGCUGAAAUCAUUGAAUAUCUUGGAUCUUGAUAUUUCUAAUCUGUUACUGAUAAUGAUUAGAUCUUAUUUGUUUGUUGCCCUAGAUAUGAUUUAAGACUUGCACCUUCGUUUUUGAAAUGUAAAACCUUUUAAAAGGUAACAACUAAGAAAAUAUAAAAAGAACUGAGGCUGCCUCCACACCUUACAAACAACUGUUUAUUUCUUACCCUUCCUUCUUUUAAUACUUCACGUGGCAUUAUUCAGUUUCGUUUUUACACAAGAGCCAAGUUCUCCCAUUCAUCAAGAUAAUGUUUAUAUUCUUCCUGUCCCAUUUGUCAGUGUUGGGUCAUUCUGCAUUGAUUGAGGGGUCGAGGUAACCUGAAAGUGUGUUUGCACGCACAAUGUGAAGCGCUCUCUCCAGACGCUUGGACCAGAUUUAUCUCGCCCUCCCCCACUUUCCUCUGGGAAGAAUUAAUGGAAACAGGAAAUCUGCAAACAUUUAAAAUGGAUAUAUGAGAUUAUUGAAAAAAUGCCUUUCCUACAAAUAGAGCUUUUAAAAGAAAAAUAAUCUGCAGUGUUUGGGACUAGUAUGAAGUUAACUCAAGCCACAUUUCAAAAUAGUGCAUAUGAUGUAUAUCACUCUCUUUAACUUUGUAUUAAUAAAGACCUUGGGAGCAGUAAUGAGAGACGCUUUGAGGCUGGCACUAGAUGCUGUCUAUCCCACACACAGGAUGUCAGAAUACCAACAUAUGGGGUAUGUAACCACCUUGGGCAGUUCCAGCAGGUGGCAGGCUGUGACCUGCAUAGGCAAGUGAUGAGGCUUGCUCAAAAUGGCAGAAUACCUGGCAAUUUAUAUAAUGGAAUCAUUGACAUUUUGCUAGUGAUUUAGUAUCACUGUAGGUUUCUUAGUUGUCACAGAGCUACUAUUCCCAGAGUUCCCUGUAAAGAAGGAUGAACUGUUCAACCAAUCUGGGAGAUGCAGCUCUGGGACAGGAAUACAGUGGUACCUCGGGUUAAGUACUUAAUUCGUUCCGGAGGUCCGUACUUAACCUGAAAUUGUUCUUAACCUGAAGCACCGCUUUAGCUAAUGGGGCCUCCCGCUGCCGCCGCACUGCCGGAGCACGAUUUCUGUUCUCAUCCUGAAGCAAAGUUCUUAACCUGAAGCACUAUUUCUGGGUUAGCAGAGUCUGUAACCUGAAGCGUAUGUAACCCGAGGUACCACUGUAGGGGUCUACUAGCAACCCUUAGCACCCUUAAACUACAGCUAACAAGAUUUUGGGGGGAAGCCAUUGCUGUUUAAAUAGGGCUGUCACAUGUCUGGGUUUUUGUGGGACACUUCCAGGAAUCAGGCCGCAAAACGGCGUCCGGGCGGAUUUUUGCCGAAUCAGCAAAAUGUCCAGAAAAACCCAGACAUAUAGCAAGGAGGGCAAUUAAAUAAUUUUAAAAAGCUUCAAAAUUUCCCCCAAAGCCCCAAAACUUAAUUUCUGGGGGGAGAUGUUCCCCAAAAAAGCUCAGCAACCAGAUUUUCACUUUGGGGAAAAUGGCAACCCUAGAAUAUAUGCUCUGAACGUGGUCUUACAGUUGUUGUAGUAAUAAUAAUUUGUUGAUUUGGAAUCCUAAAUGAAUAGGACACGGAGCAAUGGAUCCAAACUACAAGAAAGAAGAUUCCACCUAAACAUUAGGAAGAAUUUCCUGACAGUAAGAGCUGUUCAACAGUGGAAUUUGCUGCCAAGGAGUGUGGUGGAGUCUCCUUCUUUGGAGGUCUUUAAGCAGAGGCUUGACAACCAUAUGUCAGGAGUGCUCUGAUGGUGUUUCCUGCUUGGCAGGGGGUUGGACUCGAUGGCCCUUGUGGUCUCUUCCAACUCUAUGAUUCUAUGAUUCUAUUCUAUGAUUCUAAUAGCUAUAGUGGAGAAAGCAAGAAUCAGGUUCAUUAUUGCGAAAACUGCUGUCAGGCUCCCCGCACCCCCAAAAAUCUGUCACAAGAUGUCUGCAACUAGUUUGAAAAGCCAUCUACUCCAGAAACAAAUUUACUCCAUUAUCAACUGUCAUUAUUUGUAAGCAAAACUGAAUUUUAAUGGAGUGAAUACUCUGAAAUAAUUGGAUGACCAAGUUCAACAGUCCAUAUUAUAUAACCGUCCCAUGAGCAUUGUACACCAACAGUUUCCAAAGAAUCCAAGAGAAAUAGCUGACUGAAAAAAAAUAGAAUUCCCCAGGUCCACGCAGAGGCAUAUUUCAGUCCAUAAGAAUGCAACCCCAGUUCAAGACGUAUCUGAAAUCCUCUUUCUGGCUUAAAAAAAGAUCACUAUCAACUGUUACAUUAUCCUUUAUUCAGCAGAAUGUUGAGAGCUGCGCUUUUCACACCAAUAAUAUUUUUGAACACAAAAUAUAUAUCAACAUUGUUUCUUCUAAAGAGCUCUUAUCAAACCAUAUAAGUCUUAGGAAGAUUACCUAUUCCUAGAACUGCCUUAAUUUUGUUUCUUCUUCAUUUUACACAUUUAAAAUGCCCAACCAAAGAAAAUGAAUGUGUAUGCUGUAGAUUUUCAUAGUGGAUUCAGCCACCCUGCUAUUUCAUUUUUCUCAUGGCUUUCUAAUAUUUCCAGAUGUUGCUUUUACUCAGCUAAUAGCUCCACUAUGCUUAAUUGAGGUUUUGGUAUUACCAAAAUGGCCUCUGAUUGGCUUUAUUGUCUGUUGCAUUUCUGGUCUGUUGACUGUAAUAAAACUGAUGGUGAUUUCCUGUAGAUAGUAGAAAGCAAUAUAAAUAAUUGUACAGUUGUUAAGAAUGGGUAGGAAGUACUGUAUUUUUCGCUCUAUAAGACGCAUCAGACCACAAGACGCACCUAGUUUUUGGAGGAUGGAAAACAAGAAAAAAAAUAUUCUGAAUCUCAGAAGCCAGAACAGCAAGAGGGAUCGCUGCGCAGCGAAAGCAGCAAUCCCUCUUGCUGUUUUGGCUUCUGGGAUAGCUGAACAGCCUGCAUUCGCUCCAUAAGACGCACACACAUUUCCCCUUACUUUUUAGGAGGGAAAAAGUGAGUCUUAUAGAGCGAAAAAUACGGUACAUUCGCUCUAAGCAGCAAUAUAAAUUCCGCCAUAAGGGGGCAAACCGACGGCAAGAUCUGCUGGGAUAAGCAGUUUAGGAUGCAGAGGAUUUCUGGCUCGAUUGGUUGAUUCCCAGUUUAGCAGGUGUUAGGUCCCCAACUCCUGUUCAGCUCAUAUAUGCCAGCUUAGCUUGCUACAUAGAUGCUGGCUGAGCCAUGGCCAGUGUAAGUCUUCAAAAAUGUGCAUUGUGGGAUGAGGACCAGGGUGGGGUGGGGCUUAGGCUCGAUCCUAAGCCCUUUCAGUGUUGUCACAUGACCUGGCAACCUGUCAGGCAGCAGAGGAACCAUCCCCCUUGGCAGGUUGCCAGGAAUGGAUAAGACAAGGAAAAGUCCUUACCAUCUGCUUUUUAUUCAAUAUUCACAGAGAGAGGCUUGGAAAUGCAGCCUCUUGGAAGAAUGGUGUCCUGAGUAAAUCUCUACCCCACCCCCCACCCCUCUACUUCAUUCAUCAACAGCACCACCACCCGUACGGUUGCUGCUUACGGCCAUCUGUCCCCGAGCUCUCCUACUUUUAAGGGUUGCCGGGUUCUGGGAGAUGUUGGGUCUGGAAUGCUUUCUAGUGAUAAUGUGUCAGCCAGCCUCCCCCUCCUCCUCUCCCAUUAUUUCCCAGCUUUCUCCCUCAUCUUCCUCUGAGCUGUGAUUUGCCACAAACCAGAUCUGAACUGUCUUCUUCUUCUCUGGAAGGGUCAGGCUAGGGAAGUGGUCUCCACCAUUCCUCCUCUGGCAUAGAACAUGAUUUUAAAGGCUUCUGUCAUACCCUCCAACAUUUCUCCAAUGAAAAUAGGGAGUUCCUAUUCUAUAAGACUAGGAAAAACGAUAAUUUUAUUAUUUAUGCCCUGCCCAUCUGACUGCGUUGCCGCAGCCACUCUGGGUGGCUUCCAACAUAUAUAAAAGCAUAGUAAAACAUUAAACACUUAAACAAAAAACCCUUUCCUAUACAGGGCUGCCUGUAUAGAUGUCUUCUAAAAGUUGUAUAGUUACUUAUCUCCUUGGCUUGGGAAGCAAAUAACUCCAUACCCUCCAACAUUUCUCCAAUGAAAAUAGAGUUGUUCUAAGGAAAAGUGGGACAUUCUGGGAUCAAAUCAGAAACCAAGAUGGCUUCUGUAAAUCCAGGACUUGAAAAUAGGGGCAUUUGGUGGGGUCUGUUGCUUUCCCUCUGUCUUUUACUCUGUUAUCACCAGUUUGGGCACUGCUUUCCUUCUGGGUGAAGAUAGAGGAAAAGUAGGUGUUGAGCAGUUCCGCCUUUUCUCUGUCACUUAAUGGCAUGUUUCCAUUUCCCCCAUACAGAUGUUAGGUUAAGAUGUUAAUCUGCAUCUACUAAGUGCACAUAAAAGUACAAGGAAAGGCGCAAAAGGGAACACACACUCCUUCAUUUAUCGUAUGCGAGCCUGUACCUUUUUCACCAGAUAAUCCUCAAGGCAAGAAAUAGAACAUUUGUUUAAAAAGUUAUGAGGAUAAAAUAAAAUAAAAAAUUGCCACUUCAGUCAAAAUAGAAAAACAGAAGAGAACUGAGCAUCACUUGCCAUUUUAUUUUGUCUCCGGUUACGAAGUGCUGGAAACAGCUAGAGCUAAAUAUUAUGGCAGAUGAAAAUCUGUUGCCCCUUCUAUCGCUGUCGUCUUUCCCCUGCAAACAUCUAGGGGGACUCAAAGCACAAACUGACAUUGUACUGUCAGGUUUGCCUUCCUCUAAUUCCUUGGCUGUCCUCCAGGCUUCUCUGUCUGGCGCAUGGCAGUCUCCUCAGGCCACACCCCCACUAGUCCUGCUUUAUGCUUUCAUUGAGGUUUUAUUUUAUUUUAUUUUAUUUUAUUUUAUUUUAUUUUGACUGGCUGGAAUGUAUUCUUGACCUCUGAUAAUGUUUCUGGCUCAUCUGAACGGAAGAUAGAGAGGAAUGUGCGAGAGCACAAAGGUGAACUACGGGCUCCGCGCUUCAUCCACUUUUGCUUCUGUCAUCUGACCCUCGUAAAGUUGCCAAAAAAAUGAAUAAUGCCCUCUGUCUGAAAAAUAUUCCCAAUACUGUUAUGCUGCAUGCAUCGUUUCCAGCUGCUCUAGAGAAGACAACUACAUACUUGCAGUAGGCAAACAUUUGCCAUAGCAUCUAAUGUCACCAUUAUUGGUUGUUUUCGUUCCCCCUCCUGUUGAGACACGGGUCAUUCCCUUUAAUUUUGCUGAGGAAGUAGACACCUCAGUUUACAACACUUCCAGACUGAAUCUGGCCAAGCCCAAAGUAUUUUUUCACCACCGAAAGGGGUUAUUAAAUACAUUAUUUGUGUGUGUGGGGGGGAAGCAGGUGUGAAGUUUGUCGAUUUUGCUGUAAACAUGAACAUGAAGAGUGCUGUUCUGAAGAAGGGAGGAUAGAAACAGAAAAGAUGCAGCCCAUUCAAUCAAAUUAUCUCGUUUUAGCUUGUAGCUUAAUUCUCUGCCACAAGAAAACAAAGUUUUGACUUGGCAAUGGCUGAAUCUCAGCAGGACAACGUGGAAAAGUACUUGAUAGUAUAGUUCUCCGAUUCCCUUCCACAGAAAUUGAAAGAGUAUGAUUAGCACCGUUAGUUAUGACAUUUUCAGACUUUGUCUGGCAUGAUCCAUCCCCUCCCUUUUAGGAAAGGAAAGCCAUUCAUAAAUUCUUUUGCAGUGUUUUGUGUGUGUGUGAUGGAAUGGCCGUUUCUAAUUCCGAAUGACUUCUGAAAAGCGGUUUCUCCAGCUCUGGUCUUUUUCCUAAUCUUGCAUGUAGUCAGCUAAUUACUAGUCAGAGUCAAGAGCAUUCAGCAAUAGGACCUUUCCCAGGCUCUGACUUGCACUCCCCCCCUGCCACCAUGUAACACGGCCAGUCUAUCAGCUGUUCGCUGGAUAUUGAACAACAGCUGCCAUCCACAGCAAACAUCCGGCUUCUACUGAGUGCCAUAAAGGGCCAAUUGACAGGCGCAAGCUUCAGAAUGCAGAGGAAUGCAUCCACAAUUACAGUGUCAUUCUUAAGGGUAUAAUAGUUCUAGCAGAAACAGAAAAAAGAGGGUAGGUUGACCACCCAUAUGAACAGGACUGUUGGGACUGUAGGUCAGGGAAAGAGCACAGACUAUGCAUGCAAAACUCCUUUUCUGGCAACUCCACGUAGGGCUGAGAGACUUUGACCUGAAAUUUAGGAGAGUGCUUCCGGGUUCUGUCCUGGGCCCGUUGUUGUUCAACGUCUUUAUAAACGACAAAUGCUAUUCUAGGCUACAUCAACACAAGUAUAGUGUCCAGAUCAAGGGAAGUAAUAGUACCAUUCUCUUCUGCCUUGGUCAGACCACAACUGGAAUACAGUGUCCAAUCCUUGGCACCACAAUUAAAGAAGGAUGCUGGCAAGCUGGAACGUGUGCAGAGGAGGGCAAUCAAGAUGAUCUGGAAACCAAGCCUUAUGAGGAACGGUUGAAGGAGCUGGGUAUGUUUAGCCUGGAAAAGAGGAGACUGAGAGGAGAUAUAAUAGCCAACCUCAAAUAUCUCAAACUUGUUUUCUCCUGCUCUGGAGGGCACGACUUGAACCAAUGGCUUCAUUUAGCAUUUGAAAAAUGAAAGAGAGAAACAGAAAUUGGUGGAAAGUGGCUUGGUCAAAGCCACUCAAAGAGCGUCAUGGAUGAGUGUCUUCCUGGACCAUAUUCAAAAUCUGCUCCAUUGCACAACAUCUAUCUGUCUGUCUGUCUGUCUGUCUGCAGUGAUCUUAUAUGCCAUUUAGAUCCCAAAGUCACAGGAUGCCUUUUCUCAACCAAUGUGGUUUAGAUCUAGCACCAGAGAGUGUUACGUGAGCCUUCACUUAAAUACUUCACAAUGUUUAAUACCCAUGUUUGUAGAGACACAAACACUCCUUAGUGACAGAAUUAUCUCGACAAUGCACAAUUAUUACCAAGUGAAGUAAAAAAAAGAAAAAGAAAAAGUAUUUUGGAUUUAAUGAGGAGGAAACUGGGAUGUUGCAACUCCCUUGAAAUGUAGAUUUCUACUUCAGCCUAACCCAUUAAGUUUUUAGGGGUUUUUUUAGUUUUUGAGGCUGUGGUAUUUGGCAUCAUUUCUUCUGUUCUUUUGAUAAGUACCUAAACAGGAUGUCCUUGUAAAUUAAAUGAAAAACAGCUCUGGAAGGUUUCCUCCCUCAGGAAUAAGCAUUAAGAUUGGCAGAUGGUUUAAGUGGAAAUACACAGGAAUGCACUUUAGCCACUACUUGGAAAUUGUUCCUGCAGAUAUUACCAAGGUAGAUUCACAAAGUCCCAUUGGGCAUCUGUCUGCAAUGAGUCAGUUUCUAAUGGCCUGGAGCAGAAUCCUUUAAUCCAAAUUGUUUUCAAACCACCAUAGUCUUAAGAAGUGAAAUGUAAAAAUAACUUGGAAGUUAAUGAUCAUCUCAGCUAACUUCUCACGGCAUGCUCUUUAAUGUUGCUGGUAUUAGCCUAGAUAGUGAUGAUUUAGUUCAUCAUAACCCCAGAAGCCUUCCAGAUUAAUUCAUCGUUUUGGGGGCAACUUUUUACAAACCAUGAUCCAGCAUGGCUUGUAAAAAGGUAACAGAGUCACUCACUCUCCUGAAAUACAUCCAUGAAGGUCAGUAGGAACCCAGUCAAAGCCUACAUCUGCAUCAGAUAUGUUCCUUUUUGCUGGAUCGCAAUGCCUUAAUUUUAAGGGGCGGAUCUGCACUCAUGGUUUUUAACGUUAAGGAAGGGUUAAGGAAUGGUUUUGAUAACUAUAUGAACAUGUGACUACUUUUAACGUUCAUAAUGUGUUAUUAAAAUGUGACACUAGAGGGCAUGGCAGAGAAAUCAGCAACUGACAGUAGGGAAACAGCGUUAUGACAAAAGAAACAAAGGUGAAAAAAAGGAGAGUUUAUUUACAAGUAUGCCGUUACAUUUUAGAAUGAUAUCUCUAAUAUUGUUCUAAUAACGUUAAACAGGUCAAUGUCGAUCCAGCCAAGGUUUCCUCUGCUAACUAUACUGUGGAAGACUGUGACUGUGGCUGGAUCUACACACAGGGGAAAAACCCACUAUAAAUAAGUCAUAAAUUAGAUUGUUAUAACAAAAGAAAAAAACCCUGUGUAAAAUUGCGUAGACAAAUUUUGUGCUCUACAGUGCCAUCUGGUGUCACAUCUGUACAAUGGUGUUACAACUGCGUGUAGCUGAGUCCUGUGUUCCUCUUCACUCUGCUGCCAGGUGCUAACCGCUGCUGGGCAGUUUCAAGUCCCCUGGUUUCUUUAGCUUUAAAACAGCGCUUUUUAAGAGAAGAUGCUUCAAAUAGAAAACUGUUCUUUGUGAAGUAAGAUACUUGGACACGAUUCCGUGAGGCUUCCCACUUUCCCCCCCAAGCGUGCCACAUGGUUGGUCAAUGAUGGUUUACAAUUCACGGGGAUGCAGGAAAAGGGUGUAACAUUUGGGCUGAAGGUGCAGGGCAGUGGGUGUCUAAUGGCAUUUGAGAGAGUGCCUCUCUGGGAUCGCCUCUCCUGGUAUGCCCCGCAGAGGACCUUAAGGUCCACAAAUGACAAAACUUUGGAGGUCCCAAGUCGUAAGGUAGUUAGGUUGGUCUCAACUACGGCCAGGGCCUUUUCAGUACAGGCCCCGACUUGGUGGAAUGCUCUGUCACAAGAGACUAGGGCCCUGUGGGACUUGACAUCUUUCCACAGGGCCUGCAAGACAGAGCUGUUCCCCCUGGCCUUUGGUUUGGACUCAGUCUGACCCUUAUGUUUCCCUCCCCUUAUGGUUUUGAUCUAUGGGCUACUAUUAAAAUGAGGCUGCAUUUUAAAUUGUAUUUUAACCCGUAUUUUAAAUUGGUUCCCCCUCCCUCCCAUUAUGUUUUUAUUGUAAUUUUACUAGUGUCAGCCGCCCUGAGCCCGGCUCUGGCCGGGGAGGCAGGUAUUCAUCAUCAUCAUCAUCAUCGUCGUCGUCAUCUUUUGAGGUGGAUGAAAAGCGUUGCAUCUUCGUAAAGCUGUUGGUUUGCAUUGAUAGAAACUCAUCAGAAUGAAGGAGAUAGCAGGUCAGACUUUGCCACAAACUUCUGCUGUAAUCUGAGUAGUGUUUGACUCUCCUUUGUAACAUAUGUGCAAACACUGUUCAGAACAAAAGGUACUCUUUAAGUCCUCAACAGCCCUAGAAUGGAGCCCAAGGCCAAGCAAAGUACUGCCACUGGGACUGCCAGUGGGUUUAAGAGUUCUGCAGGAU